UACGUAGGGUGCGAGCGUUGUCCGGAAUUAUUGGGCGUAAAGAGCUUGUAGGUGGUUUGUCGCGUCUGCUGUGAAAAUCCGAGGCUCAACCUCGGACUUGCAGUGGGUACGGGCAGACUAGAGUGUGGUACGGGAGACUGGAAUUCCUGGUGUAGCGGUGGAAUGCGCAGAUAUCAGGAGGAACACCAAUGGCGAAGGCAGAUCUCUGGGC
RNAcentral lists this ribosomal RNA (211 nucleotides) under uncultured bacterium. Its description in RNAcentral is "partial 16S ribosomal RNA". It matches the Rfam family "Bacterial small subunit ribosomal RNA", at positions 524 to 734 of the family's 1533-position model. The record is from RNAcentral.